ACAAACACGUUUCAGUUGAUGUCACUUCUUGACCCUGAGCUACUAAAAAGACUUUUCAUUCCCCCCUCUGCUCUCUGAAUAGUGCAGCGAAUACCUAAGAAAAUGAGUACCGAGAGCUAGCAUUCCUACGCCUGAUCUAUGUGUGACGUGUUCCACACAUAUCAAGCGAAUGUAUCUCUCAAGAAGAGUCCCCGAGGAUAGGAAGCACCUGUUGAUCUCUUUACGCGUCAUCCGCCAGUCUAUCUCUGAGGUGGAACUCUGUUGACUACGAGCAUACAGGUGGUUGAGGACUUUCUCACUUUCUCGGCAAGACUUAUGGGCUAUCCUCAAACUCUGUGGAUCGGAUGGAACUCUACUUCCCAUAAUCGCGUUGAACCAAUGCUAACUAGACGUGCCGCGUUACAGACCCUUCUCUCCUUAAAGACUAAGAGAGAACAUGAAUCAAAGUCUGCAAAUCCUCAUGAUAUUCUCUGAGAAUUGACCGAUAACUGAUGCAAGCGAAAUAUCUUAAGUCGCCCUUCUUUCGAUAAACACGCUGACUUGAGGAAAGGCAUUCAAACAGCGGAGGAAUCUACGUUCGGGAUCCCUUUUUAUUAUCUAUGUAUGAAAAGGUGCUUUCAAUUGAACAUACUUUGUGUGUGCUGGGCCAACAUCAAUUUUAUUCAACCCCAUCCAGGCAUCGAAGAAAGAAGAAAUAAACAAAAGAUUGCAACAGCGUGACAAUCGAUAAGCUCAUUGGACAAGGUAACUAUGUUGCACAGGAACCUGAGCGUCUGCUGAGCCUUUACCGCGAUGGAUGGUUGGUCGGUUAUACCCUUCCGAUAUCACAGCUACCAACCCAUGGAUCGCGCACUAGUGUCGACUGGGGCGUUGUUGAUUAGAAAGGGUUGGGCAAAAUAAACACCAGCAGGCGUUGUCGGGAUUCCCUUGGAGGUACGGAGGAGUAAUCGCACCAAAAUAUAGUGCCUAACGAUCGCUUUGGUUUGAGAGAAAAAGGAGUACAGCGUAA
RNAcentral lists this small RNA (1009 nucleotides) under Histoplasma ohiense. Its description in RNAcentral is "hypothetical lncRNA". The record is from RNAcentral. Lineage: Eukaryota; Fungi; Ascomycota; Eurotiomycetes; Onygenales; Ajellomycetaceae.